This 326-nucleotide ribosomal RNA is filed under the name uncultured eukaryote. RNAcentral describes it as "partial 18S ribosomal RNA". It matches the Rfam family "Eukaryotic small subunit ribosomal RNA", at positions 1470 to 1796 of the family's 1831-position model. The record is from RNAcentral.
CCCUUAGAUGUUCUGGGCCGCACGCGCGCUACACUGAUGCAUUCAACGAGUUUUUCCUGGUCCGAGAGGAAUGGGUAACCUUUUGAAAGUGCAUCGUGCUAGGGAUAGACUAUUGCAAUUAUUGGUCUUCAACGAGGAAUUCCUAGUAGACGUAGUUCAUCAGACUGCAUCGAUUACGUCCCUGCCCUUUGUACACACCGCCCGUCGCUCCUACCGAUUGGAUGGUCCGGUGAAGCCUCGGGAUUGUGGUUCUUGCCGCUUUAUUGUGGCGUGACCGCGAGAACUUGUCUAAACCUUAUCAUCUAGAGGAAGGUGAAGUCGUAACA